This 1375-nucleotide ribosomal RNA is filed under the name uncultured bacterium. Its description in RNAcentral is "16S ribosomal RNA". It matches the Rfam family "Bacterial small subunit ribosomal RNA". The record is from RNAcentral.
AGAGUUUGAUCCUGGCUCAGGACCAACGCUGGCUGCGUGCUUAACACAUGCAAGUCGAACGGAAAGGCCCCGCUCGCGGGGUACUCGAGUGGCGAACGGGUGAGUAACACGUGGGUGAUCUGCCCUGCACUUCGGGAUAAACCUGGGAAACUGGGUCUAAUACCGGAUAUGACCUCCCCUUAGUGUGGGGGGUGGAAAGAUUUAUCGGUGCAGGAUGAGCCCGCGGCCUAUCAGCUUGUUGGUGGGGUAAUGGCCUACCAAGGCGUCGACGGGUAGCCGGCCUGAGAGGGUGGACGGCCACAUUGGGACUGAGAUACGGCCCAGACUCCUACGGUUUGCAGCAGUGGGGAAUAUUGCACAAUGGGCGGAAGCCUGAUGCAGCGACGCCGCGUGGGGGAUGACGGCCUUCGGGUUGUAAACCUCUUUCGACAGGGACGAAGUGAAAAUGACGGUACCUGUAUAAGAAGCACCGGCUAACUACGUGCCAGCAGCCGCGGUAAUACGUAGGGUGCGAGCGUUGUCCGGAAUUACUGGGCGUAAAGAGCUCGUAGGUGGUUUGUCACGUCGUCUGUGAAAUUCCGGGGCUUAACCUCGGGCGUGCAGGCGAUACGGGCAAUACUUGAGUGCUGUAGGGGAGACUGGAAUUCCUGGUGUAGCGGUGAAAUGCGCAGAUAUCAGGAGGAACACCAAUGGCGAAGGCAGGUCUCUGGGCAGUUACUGACGCUGAGGAGCGAAAGCAUGGGUAGCGAACAGGAUUAGAUACCUGGUAGUCCAUGCCGUAAACGGUGGGCGCUAGGUGUAGGGGACUUCCACGUUCUCUGUGCCGUAGCUAACGCAUUAAGCGCCCCGCCUGGGGAGUACGGCCGCAAGGCUAAAACUCAAAGGAAUUGACGGGGGCCCGCACAAGCGGCGGAGCAUGUGGAUUAAUUCGAUGCAACGCGAAGAACCUUACCUGGGCUUGACAUACACCGGACCGGCGUAGAGAUACGUCUUCCCUUGUGGCCGGUGUACAGGUGGUGCAUGGUUGUCGUCAGCUCGUGUCGUGAGAUGUUAAAAUAAGUCCCGCAACGAGCGCAACCCUUGUCUUAUGUUGCCAGCACGUGAUGGUGGGGACUCAUGAGAGACUGCCGGGGUCAACUCGGAGGAAGGUGGGGAUGACGUCAAAUCAUCAUGCCCCUUAUGUCCAGGGCUUCACACAUGCUACAAUGGUCGGUACAGCAGGUCGCGAACUCGUGAGAGUAAGCCAAUCCUUCAAAGCCGGCCUCAGUUCGGAUUGGGGUCUGCAACUCGACCCCAUGAAGUCGGAGUCGCUAGUAAUCGCAGAUCAGCAACGCUGCGGUGAAUACGUUCCCGGACCUGCACAGACCGCCCGUCA